AAACGUAGGGGGCGAGCGUUGUCCGGAAUUACUGGGCGUAAAGGGUGCGUAGGCGGCUGUUUAAGUCCCGUGUGAAAGGCCCCGGCUUAACCGGGGAGAGCCACGGGAAACUGGACGGCUUGAGUGCCGGAGAGGGUGGCGGAAUUCCCGGUGUAGCGGUGAAAUGCGUAGAGAUCGGGAGGAACACCAGUGGCGAAGGCGGCCACCUGGACGGUAACUGACGCUGAGGCACGACAGAUGGGGGAGCAAACAGGAUUAGAUACCCUGGUAGUCCCAGCCGUAAACGAUGAGUGCUAGGUGUUGCGGGUAUCGACCCCUGCAGUGCCGCAGUUAACGCAAUAAGCACUCCGCCUGGGGAGUACGGCCGCAAGGCUGAA
This 377-nucleotide ribosomal RNA is filed under the name uncultured bacterium. RNAcentral's name for it is "bacterial SSU rRNA". It matches the Rfam family "Bacterial small subunit ribosomal RNA", at positions 523 to 898 of the family's 1533-position model. The record is from RNAcentral.